RNAcentral lists this ribosomal RNA (809 nucleotides) under uncultured Alcaligenes sp. Its description in RNAcentral is "bacterial SSU rRNA". It matches the Rfam family "Bacterial small subunit ribosomal RNA", at positions 247 to 1054 of the family's 1533-position model. Lineage: Bacteria; Pseudomonadati; Pseudomonadota; Betaproteobacteria; Burkholderiales; Alcaligenaceae. The record is from RNAcentral.
AGUUGGAGAGGUAACGGCUCACCAAGGCUACGAUGUCUAGGGGUUUUGAGAGGAAGAUCCCCCACACUGGUACUGAGACACGGCCCAGACUCCUACGGGAGGCAGCAGUGAGGAAUAUUGGUCAAUGGACGGAAGUCUGAACCAGCCAUGCCGCGUGAGGGAAGACUGCCCUAUGGGUUGUAAACUUCUUUUAUACGGGGAUAAACCUAUCUUUGCGAAGAUAGCUGAAGGUACCGUAUGAAUAAGCAUCGGCUAACCCCGUGCCAGCAGCCGCGGUAAUACGGAGGGUGCAAGCGUUAAUCGGAAUUACUGGGCGUAAAGCGUGCGCAGGCGGUUCGGAAAGAAGGAUGUGAAAUCCCAGGGCUCAACCUUGGAACUGCAUUCUUAACUACCGGACUAGAGUAUGUCAGAGGGGGGUAGAAUUCCGCGUGUAGCAGUGAAAUGCGUAGAUAUGCGGAGGAAUACCGAUGGCGAAGGCAGCCCCCUGGGAUAAUACUGACGCUCAUGCACGAAAGCGUGGGUAGCAAACAGGAUUAGAUACCCUGGUAGUCCACGCCCUAAACGAUGUCAACUAGCUGUUGGGCCCUUCGGGGCUUAGUAGCGUAGCUAACGCGUGAAGUUGACCGCCUGGGGAGUACGGUCGCAAGAUUAAAACUCAAAGGAAUUGACGGGGACCCGCACAAGCGGUGGAUGAUGUGGAUUAAUUCGAUGCAACGCGAAAAACCUUACCUACCCUUUGACAUGUCUGGAAUCCUUUAGAGAUAGAGGAGUGCUCGCAAGAGAACCGGACACAGUGCUGCAUGCUGUCG